Solanum stenotomum is the source of this 1631-nucleotide long non-coding RNA. RefSeq lists it as uncharacterized. The record is from RefSeq and is a predicted model, not a curated record. The transcript is spliced from 6 exons. NCBI's taxonomy places the organism in Eukaryota, Viridiplantae, Streptophyta, Magnoliopsida, Solanales, Solanaceae.
GAGAAUUGCGAUAAUCUCCAAUCACUUUCCGAAUCAGCAUUGCCCUCCUCCCUCUCUCAGCUGACCAUCAUAAAUUGCCCUAAUCUCCAAUCACUCUCCGAAUCAGCACUACCCUCCUCCCUCUCUGAGCUAACCAUCAGCAAUUGUCGUAAUCUCCAAUCACUCUCCGAACCAGCACUACCAUCCUCCCUCUCUAAGCUGACCAUCAUGAAUUUCCCUAAUCUCCAAUUACUUCCAGUAAAAGGGAUGCCCUCUUCCCUCUCUACACUAAAUAUUCACAACUGCCCAUUGCUCACACCACUACUAGAAUUUGACAAGGGAAAAUACUGGCAAAUUAUUGCUCAAAUUCCCAAUAUAUAUAUUGAUGGAGAAUACCUGUAAUGAUUAAAACAAAUGGUGCUCUGACAAAUGGUGUCGCUAUUUCCAAAUUGUACAGAUAUCUACUUUGGCUUGCUUGAGAUGAAGCAUCACUUGCUGCAAGUGGAACAUUCAGCUCUAAUGAAACCCAAAGGAUUUUUACAAGGCUCAACGAUUAUUUAGGAAGUGAAAAGUUUCGAAGGUCUCUCUGCUCAAGUCAAGAAGCGAAAGUUGUUGAACCUUCAAGUGUGGAAAUCUUCUCAUACAUGGGCGGAGCUAGAGAGGAACAUAUGGGUUCGACAGAGACUGGUAACUAUACAAAACAAGACAAACAUUACAGAGAUUGCCAUCGGUCUCCGAAUCAACACUGCCCUCCUCCCUCUCUCAGCUGACAAUAGAUGAUUGCGAUAAUCUCCUAUCACUCUCCGAAUCAACACUUCCCUCCUCCCUCUCUAACAGAGAAGUUGCCAUUCAACUUAUACUCACAUGAUUAAAACAGUUUUUCCACUAUUAAGGACAUGGGAAUUCUAAUAGGAUAAAGCCUGUCUAAGUCAAUUAGAUGUUACAGACUUGCAACUAAUUGUUGUGCGUUAUACAAUUGCAUAUUUCUUGGAUCAAAGGCUGGGAUAUACUUGAAAGCAUAAGAAGAAAGAAUAUGCAUCAAUCAUCCAUGGGAAUGUAUACUUAAGAGGAGACAAUGGCCACCACCACAUCUAUUUGUUAGGAAAUAAAAACAUGUCUAAGGUAUGAAAACUCUUGCAAGAUUCUGUCUUUAGGAAUCAUUCAUGUACAUCUAUAUGUAUUGAGACGUGUGUGUGCUGGUCUGUAAUUGCAAUAUAUAUGUGGAUUGGUGAAGAAUUCUAAAAUUCUUUAUAAUUGCUUUCAGUAAGGAGGUUGUGAUUUCCAAUUCGUACCGCUGUCUACUGUGGCUUCCUUGAGAUGAAGCAUGACUUGCUGCAAAUGGAACAUCCAGCUCUAAUGUACCCAAACGCCGGAUGUGGACAAGACCAUGGUUGUUUACGCUUCAACUCAGUUUCCUGAGUAUACACAUAGUGUGAUUGCUCGUUGUCUUCGUGUUCCUGAGCAUAGUAUCCGUGUGAUAACAAGAAGGGCUGGAGGGGGCUUCAGUGGCAAGAAAUAUGCCCAUAGUACUAUUAACAGAGAAAAAAUUGAAAGUUUUAGAAUAGUUUUGAAACAUUAGCAAGGCUCAACAAUGAUUUGGGAAGUGAAUUUUUUUUGUAAGGUCCCUUUGCUUAAGUCGAGAAGGGAAAGUU